This is a long non-coding RNA of Neodiprion virginianus, 1470 nucleotides long. RefSeq lists it as uncharacterized. The transcript is spliced from 2 exons. The record is from RefSeq and is a predicted model, not a curated record. NCBI's taxonomy places the organism in Eukaryota, Metazoa, Arthropoda, Insecta, Hymenoptera, Diprionidae.
AUUAUUGAGCCAAGUCUGAUCUAUUCAACUAGCGUAGACUAAUGUAAUACACCCGGUGAUUAAGAGGAUCUGAAUAACGUUAUCGGUAAAAAUGAAAAAAAAUAAUAAAAAAUGACGAAACAAACCGCCAUGCGAGGUGUUUCUUGAUUUCCCACGCUCGAAUCUGCCCUGCUGUACAAGAAGCAAAGGGCUCUAGUGAAAAUGCAACUCCCACUUAUGCUGAACGUAACUUGACACCGCGGUACACAAUGAACGAGCAGCAGGUGCCCCGAGAAUUUUUCUUCGUCGUUCGUCGUCAUAGUCAGUGACGUUUGAGAAAAGAUCCUCGAUAUAAAUAAUACUCCGAGUAUUAAUUCAGAGGAAUGAUGUGAAAAACCGCUUUCGAAGUUUACCAAAACACUCCUGGCCGAUGGUUCGGGUUCCUCUUUAUUAGUCGAGCGAAUAUUUGCGUAGAGGUAUAAUAAAGACCCGGCUGACCCACGUUCAGCAACGAUACAGCGCGACUUGUGGGUGUUACGUGAAUGUGAGUGAUGUUUACGUGUAACAAGUUAACACACAAACGCGUCGGGCAUCAAAAGCUAUCUCUUAGCUCUAUUCAUCGCAGUGCUGCGCAGACCUCUGUGACUCGACCUCAGAGCAAAUAAUAAUGAUACACUUUGUGAAGCGAUCGCCCAGUUUGGAUCAAACGAACAUUCGUCGAUCGUGCUUGAGCAGCAGUUAAACGUCAACGUUGUUGGAAUUGGGAGAUCGAAUCGUCGUUAAUCAAAUUCAUCAAGUGAAAUCGGAAUCGUACACUCUUGAAACGCAACGCCGAGAUGAAGACACCGUGGAUUGUUUUCACGAUCUGCGUCGUUUUAAUCUGCACCGUCAGAGAUACUCGGGGUCAGAUGUUUGGCGGAAACUGGAUGGAAGAUCUCUUCGCUGGGCUGAAUCGCAUCGCCAAGGAUUUAGAGGUACCGAGGGCGCGGCAGGACCUCGCAAAAACGGAAAGGCAACACAUCGGAACCAUCGGUAGGAAGGGCAGCGAGGGUUCAACCGACAUCGAGGACAUCCUUCACCGCGCGGAAAAGGUUCGCCACCCUUUUCGCCGAACGGUGAACGAGUUUCGGUACAUCCGCAACCCGGCAGACUCUAUUUUAAAACCUAUCUCGCGGCUGCAACGGAAUUGAAAGACGAGGCACCGUUUGGACGGCCAUUCGGCCGCACGGUAACAAGUGCGGAAACUUACGAUCGUGAGAAUCGGAUACGAACUGAAAAAAGGCUGCCUAUCCGCAUUCUUUGUUUCAAAAAUUCUUAAAUUUUUGUUCGUGGAUUAAUGCAAUAAUUGGGCGAGUGGAGUCUGUGAUUUCAAUUUUCUUCACAAAGGGGAUAGACAUUUUAGUCUGAUAAUACGCUAAAAAUAAUAGGCUAGAAAUACAUGGUUGUUUAAAAUUCUGUAAUUUGAAUACGAUAAUAAAGUAGUAUGUGUAA